GUUUCCUACGGGAGGCAGCAGUAGGGAAUCUUCCGCAAUGGGCGAAAGCCUGAUGGAGCAACGCCGCGUGGGUGAAGAAGGUCUUCGGAUCGUAAAACCCUAUUGUUAGAGAAGAAAGUGCGUGAGAGUAACUGUUCACGUUUCGACGGUAUCUAACCAGAAAGCCACGGCUAACUACGUGCCAGCAGCCGCGGUAAUGCGUAGGUGGCAAGCGUUAUCCGGAUUUAUUGGGCGCAAAGGGAACGCAGGCGGUCUUU
Molecule: ribosomal RNA, 257 nt
Filed under: uncultured bacterium
Lineage: Bacteria
Description: partial 16S ribosomal RNA
Rfam family: Bacterial small subunit ribosomal RNA
Source: RNAcentral